AUACGGAGGAUGCAAGCGUUAUCCGGAUUUAUUGGGUUUAAAGGGUGCGUAGGCGGUUUGCUAAGCGGGAGGUGAAAUGCCGGCGCUCAACGUCGGAAGUGCCUCCCGAACUGGUGGACUUGAAUGACUCUGCCGUGGGAGGAAUGUGUAGUGUAGCGGUGAAAUGCUUAGAGAUUACACAGAACACCGAUUGCGAAGGCAUCUCACGAAGGGUUGAUUGACGCUGAGGCACGAAAGCGUGGGGAUCAAACAGGAUCAGAUACCCUGGUAGUCCACGCAGUAAACGAUGAUGGCUAACCGCUGGGCUUAUCAGUUCAGUGGCCAAGCGAAAGCGAUAAGCCAUCCACCUGGGGAGUACGACCGCAAGGUUGAAACUCAAAUGAAUUGACGGG
RNAcentral lists this ribosomal RNA (392 nucleotides) under uncultured bacterium. Its description in RNAcentral is "partial 16S ribosomal RNA". It matches the Rfam family "Bacterial small subunit ribosomal RNA", at positions 523 to 917 of the family's 1533-position model. The record is from RNAcentral.